GCUCUGAGUAGGCCGACAAUCAUAGGCGAGUAGACCUUAGGCGAGAGAAGGCAUGUACUUUCCCUAAGAAGCGGGAGGAGACAAAUAUAGGGCAGUGGAAUGAGAAGAACCUCGCGGGAUGGGAGGCCGCGGAGGGAAGCGCCGUCUUUGGUUACCUGGGGAGCGGGAGCAGCUGCGGAUCCCUUAUGAAGUGCCCGGAUGAAGCUCCAGCGCUCACGCGCUUUCCGCAUUGAGUGCAGCGCCAUCUUGAGAAGGGCGGAGCCGCCUUGUUCGGAAUGACGUCUGUUCAGAGAGCCAAUCCCAGUCUCGCGACUCCUGCUUGCUGGGCGCGGCCUGGGCCUCCAGGCUGCGCAGCGCAGCCGCUAUCGGGGGAGUGCAGUUUUUGCCAAGUAGUCACAAUGAUUUGUAUGACAGAUGCUAGCCCAAGAGAGAGUUCCAGAAGAGGGCUACCUAACAGGUGCUGUGGCAUUUAGAAGAGGAAUGGAGCCACUGUCUACGCACAGCUUGCAGGGGAACAGGAGAGUCAGCCUGAGAAGGAAAUGUGAUGAUGGAAACAGAGGUUGGAAGAUGGAAGGGGACCCAGAGCCAAGGAAUACAGAUGGAGUCUUGCUCUGCUGCCCAGGCUGGAGUGCAGUGGAGCGAUCUUGGCUCACUGCAACCUCCGUCUUCCAGGUUCAAGCGAUUCUCCUGCUUCAGCCUCCCAGGUAGUUGGGAUUACAGGCACCCACUACACCCGGCUA
This 740-nucleotide non-coding RNA is filed under the name Pongo abelii (Sumatran orangutan). The record is from RNAcentral. Lineage: Eukaryota; Metazoa; Chordata; Mammalia; Primates; Hominidae.